CUAAGAUGCUGCAACUAUUUUGUUUCUAGGACUUCAGGUAACAAUGAGUUACAUAUCUGUCACCCUCUCUUGUCUCAGUAGGUGGCAAAUUUGAGACACAAAGAGAAAAUGUGACUCAUACAGGGAAGACCAUAGAUGAACUGUUAAAUAAAGGGCUGAAGUAGGAAAUUAUUAACUCCAUCAUUAUUAGAAGGUGAUUGGUCAAAAGAAGGAUGUAGAUUAAUUUGAGCAAAACUCUAUCUAAUUUGGUGGCUCCUGUCACUUUUCUAUUCUGCUUCCCACUGUUGAAUGAUUUUUGCACUGGGACAGGCAGGACAGAUGCUACCUAGAAAGGAGAAGCCGUGUGACUUGGGACCGUCAGAGCAGACACCUCCUGUCGACCCCCCGGAGACCUGCCUUACCUGGAGAUUGCACAGGAUCUCUACAGCUGUAUAAAUGGAAGACCAAAACACACCUAAAGACUUUGUCACGGAAGAUUUUCACCACCAGUCAGGGGCUGAGGCCUGAAAUUCUUCCAACACAGAUUCAGCUUUUGGAAUAAAAUGCCAUCUCCCUUGUGACAGAUCUUGUGAGCUCCCCGCUCAACAUCCACCCCCUUUCCCUCGCUAACUUUGCCUUUUACCAGAUAAAACACAGGAUGUCUGGUUAAAUUUGAAUAUCAAAUAAACAAUGGAUAAUUGUGGGUAUAAAUAUGUCCAAAAUAUGACAUACUUAAAUGGAAAAGAAGUAAUACAGUCCCUAAUUUUCCCAGACUUCCUUGCAGUGGGAGCGUCCGUGUGACCAGUUCAGGCCAUUGAGACACGAAGGGAUGUCUAUCACAUGUGUCGGGUGCAGCCUGCAAGCCUCCUUUUUCCGGCAAGAGCCACGACUAGUGUUGCCAUCUCUUCCGUGUCCCUCCUUGUUGCCUAGAAUGUGGGUGUGACACUGAGGUGCAGCAGCCCCUCCUGGUUAUGAGGGCAUGCCAAGACGCUGCAGAGACCUGGUGCUGGUGUGGUUAAGUCCUCCAGCCAGCAGCUGCUGCCUCUGGAGGUCUCGUUUGUGAAAACAAAGCAAAGCAAAGGAAAGCAAACCCCAAAGCAAAAUGCUUAGGUGUACAAACCACAUAUUUUCUGUGACUGAAAAUGGCUG
Phyllostomus discolor (pale spear-nosed bat) is the source of this 1128-nucleotide long non-coding RNA. RefSeq lists it as uncharacterized. NCBI's taxonomy places the organism in Eukaryota, Metazoa, Chordata, Mammalia, Chiroptera, Phyllostomidae. The transcript has 2 exons. The record is from RefSeq and is a predicted model, not a curated record.